UUCAGAAGCGAUUGACAUUCGUCUUCUGCAUCCCCCAGCUCAUUUCUCCUCCAAUCGCCAAAUUGAAAAAGAAACUACAUGCGAGCUGUCAACUGCAAGAGAGAGAGGCGUGACUACCUCUGUUCCCUGUCAAGGAGACGCAACUUUCCCGAUCCCUGUGGACCAAUACAUCAGUAUUGUGUAUUCACAAUACAUUGGUUUUGAGUCAUGUAAUAUAAGAAGGUAAAUGUAUUUAUUCACAUUUGAUUUGAUGAUAACUUCAAUCAACAGGAUCAAUAUGCGAGUUUGUGAAGAUGACUGAAGGGGGUGGAUUUUGGGAAGGGGGGAGAUUUUCCCCCAGAUCACAAGAUAGCUUGUAUCUCUUUUCCUUUCAGUGAAAAACAUACACAUCACAAAUCUACUCUAACCCACCAUGGCAUGAGAAUGAAUAGUUCAACUGAAAACAAUGAAUUGGUCCUAUAACAAUAUCCGUUAUUCACCACCACAGGGACAAAUAAUCAUUAUAAACACUGGCUAAAGCCCCAACCCCAACCACAACAAAAGCCAGCCAGGCUAGAUCUGACUCAUUCAUUCUGAAUGAGGGGCCAACCCAACAUCCAAGGACAACGUACCUCAGAGAUCCUAGGUCCUCAUUCCUGACGGGGACACCGGCGGCGGAGGCAGAGGGGGGACAGCGCAUGCCGUUGACGUAUAUGCUCUGCACCAGGGCUAGCUCCGACGAGUGUUCCAACAUCGCACGGGACUCUUCCAGAAAAAUCCACCUUCUUAUGAGGAUGCGCAUAUGUCACAUUCUUCACAUUCCCUGGACUGACUGAUGAUAAACCAGAGGAUGAGAAGAGGGAGGGGAGAGAGGUACAGGGAGCGACACAGAGAGGGGGUGAUGGAGACCUUUGUGAGAGGGGGAGACCGAGCCAACCCUGUCUACCUCUAUACCCUCUCUCCAACUACAGUACAGUAUGUUCUCAUUAUUACACUGGUGCAGAGAUGGAUAGCAUAGCUUGCUGUAUGUUUAGUCAGUAAGAAAAAAUUCUGGUAAGCAUGGCUAUCUUUUAAUAAAGGAAGGAUUACGCUAGUCUCCUCUCUCAGAUGGCAUUUUGUUUGCAUGUUAAGCCUAACAUGAACAGAAAUCUCUCUGCAAUACUUUGCUAUAUGAAAUAUAGCCCCAGGUUACGUUCCAAAUGGCACCCUAUUCCCAUAUAGUGCACUACUUUUGAUCAGAGCCCUAUAGGCCCUGGUCAAAAGUAGUGCACUACAAAUGGAAUAGGGUGCCAUUUGGGAUACACUCAUUAUCAUAUCCCAUGGCAGUGUAGCAUAUUAGUUGUUUGACCAUGUCAAAUACUAGUGUGGUCAGUUGUUAUAUCUGUUUGUAGUAUAGCCAACGGUUCUUCUAACGUGCGUCUAUUGUCUUGUUUGGCAUGACAACACACGGUAGAGACGUUGGCUAUAGCACAAACAGAUCUGGUAACUAGGCCAGUCAAAUGCAUUCUCAACUACUUCACAUAAGACACACACACACACACACACACACACACACUUGAAGGGCAGUUUUACAUAAAGUGUUGUCACAGACCCUGGAGCCAUUGGCCACCAUCAACUGACAACAGGAACCAAAACAUGAAGAGGCAUACCCUUAUGUCGUUUCAAAUUACUGCCCUAAUUUGCAUAGCUUAUACACCUACAAUAGAGUUACCAAAAUUAAAAGUAUGGCAUGCAGUCAGAUAAUUUCCUGUUUAUAACUUUAUGUAGUUUAAAACUACUGCUUUAGUACCAUAAUUUGCAUGGCAACUCAUCAUAGUCCAUCCGGACUACACCACAGUGCUAUCAAAGUGAAGAGUAUGGCAGGAGUACAGUAGGCAGAGGAAAUAAACUAGAAAAUAUUUCACUAUGGCUUGCAGCCAGAUGACUUCCUGUUGAUGCGUAUAGUUCCUCCUUUUAUUCCAGGUACAUAAAGAAACAACCUAGUGUUUCAGUCUUACAACUUUAAGAUGAGAUUUGCUCUGUAAUAUCCUUCUCGGACUCUGAGAGCCCAGGAGAAAAUAAAUCUAGGCCUCCGACCCCCAUAGGCGUUCUCUCUUGCUCUCUUUCUCAUUCUCUCUCUCUGACUUUAAGUAGGAAAGUCAUUUGAAACAGGGUCAUGUAUGCUGUGCAGUACAUGUGGGUGUGUGUGCUGCAUGUGUGCCGAGCGGGUAUCAUAGGGGAUAAGACUGACAUGGUGAAGGGGAUCCUCUGAUCUGAGCGUAAAUCCCUCUGGUUUCAGCCUUGCUCUUUCUUGCACACUUAGUUUCCGCUGACAUAAAUAUUUUAACGCUGAUGUUGAAACCCUAGCUAGUCUUUGUGAUGUGUAGCUGCACCAUAUAAAGCAGAGAGCAACUAAAGUUAUUGUGUUCUUGCACUAAGUGAACUUACAGUAUCUCCUGAAAUACCUCUGAUCCAAGUGAUACAUUCAACAGUAGGCUUGAUUCUAAUGGACGAAAAUUGAUUUUGAAAGUGAAGCUGUAUCUAUUACAGAAACAUUGAAGUUAAAUUAUUCAGGAACUAACAUCCAUUUCAAGGUAACACUUUCCAGAAGGUGAAUAGAAUCUGAAAGGGAAGACUGCACAUCUGUAAACCAACCACAUGUGCUAGGCUACUGAAAGACACGUGAAAGGGUUUGAGACCUCUUGUCUGUCAGUCUCUCUCUCACUCUUUCGUUCUCACUCACGUGCUCCCCAUGACCCAAAGUGACAGGGUCGGUUUGUCUGGUGACUCAAUGUUCACUAGCACUGCAGAAAUACUUUUUUAUGAAACCGGAAAACAACUACCAGGAACUUUCUACGGUCAGAUUGUGAAACUGCUGCCUGUCUGUCUUGUUUUGUUGAAACCUCCAUCCAUUCUUUUGUGAAAAUGAAACCUCCAUCCAUAGGCUUUGGUUCUGGGUGUUGGAGGUGUCUGAUAGCUUUCAUUGGGUAAUCUCAAAUCAAAUUGCAUUGGUCACAUAUACAUACUUAGCAGAUGUUAUUGCGGGUGUAGCGAAAUGCUUGUGUUCCUAGCUCUAACAGUGCAGUAGUAUCUAAUAGUGCAGUAGAAUCUAAAAAUUAUUCACAAUACACACAUCUAAAAGAAUGGAAAUGGGUUGGUGCCCCCCCCUUGGGUUGUGCCGUGGCAGAGAUCUUUGUGGGCUAUACUCUGCCUUGUCUCAGGAUGGUAAA
Oncorhynchus mykiss (rainbow trout) is the source of this 3188-nucleotide non-coding RNA. The record is from RefSeq and is a predicted model, not a curated record. Lineage: Eukaryota; Metazoa; Chordata; Actinopteri; Salmoniformes; Salmonidae.